This 451-nucleotide ribosomal RNA is filed under the name uncultured Aurantimonadaceae bacterium. RNAcentral's name for it is "partial 16S ribosomal RNA". The record is from RNAcentral. Lineage: Bacteria; Pseudomonadati; Pseudomonadota; Alphaproteobacteria; Hyphomicrobiales; Aurantimonadaceae.
CACGAAGUUAGCCGGGGCUUCUUCUCCGGGUACCGUCAUUAUCGUCCCCGGUGAAAGAGCUUUACAAUCCUAAGACCUUCAUCACUCACGCGGCAUGGCUGGAUCAGGCUUGCGCCCAUUGUCCAAUAUUCCCCACUGCUGCCUCCCGUAGUAGUUUGGGCCGUGUCUCAGUCCCAAUGUGGCUGAUCAUCCUCUUAGACCAGCUACCGAUCGUCGCCUUGGUAGGCCUUUACCCCACCAACUAGCUAAUCGGACGCGGGCUCAUCCUGAACCGGUAAACCUUUGUCCCUCAGGACAUAUGCGGUAUUAAUUCCAGUUUCCCGGAGCUAUCCCGCAGAUCAGGGUAGAUUCCCACGCGUUACUCACCCGUCUGCCACUCCCCUUGCGGGGCGUUCGACUUGCAUGUGUUAGGCCUGCCGCCAGCGUUCGUUCUGAGCCAGGAUCAAACUCU